RNAcentral lists this ribosomal RNA (497 nucleotides) under uncultured bacterium. RNAcentral's name for it is "partial 16S ribosomal RNA". It matches the Rfam family "Bacterial small subunit ribosomal RNA", at positions 28 to 507 of the family's 1533-position model. The record is from RNAcentral.
GAUGAACGCUGACGGCGUGCCUAAUUCAUGCAAGUCGAGCGAACGGACGAGAAGCUUGCUUCUCUGAUGUUAGCGGCGGGCGGGUGAGUAACACGUGGAUAACCUACCUAUAAGACUGGGAUAACUUCGGGAAACCGGAGCUAAUACCGGAUAAUAUUUUGAACCGCAUGGUUCAAAAGUGAAAGACGGUCUUGCUGUCACUUAUAGAUGGAUCCGCGCUGCAUUAGCUAGUUGGUAAGGUAACGGCUUACCAAGGCAACGAUGCAUAGCCGACCUGAGAGGGUGAUCGGCCACACUGGAACUGAGACACGGUCCAGACUCCUACGGGAGGCAGCAGUAGGGAAUCUUCCGCAAUGGGCGAAAGCCUGACGGAGCAACGCCGCGUGAGUGAUGAAGGUCUUCGGAUCGUAAAACUCUGUUAUUAGGGAAGAACAUAUGUGUAAGUAACUGUGCACAUCUUGACGGUACCUAAUCAGAAAGCCACGGCUAACUACGUG